Molecule: non-coding RNA, 3736 nt
Organism: Myodes glareolus (Bank vole)
Lineage: Eukaryota; Metazoa; Chordata; Mammalia; Rodentia; Cricetidae
Source: RefSeq, a predicted model, not a curated record
CACAAGCUGAAGCUGACUUGGGUGUGGCUACCAUCUCAGUCCCCAGAGAAGAGACUGCUAGGUUCCAUGUGAAGGCUAGGGAUGCCCUCCCUGCAGCUACCCUCCUGGUCACCAACGCCAACAUCCUCACGCACCUUGAGUUUCGGGCUCAGGUUCCUGCUCGCAAAGCCUCACCUCAGCACUGGAGCAUAAGCAGCUUGGAGCCCUGGCCCAGCCAGGGAGCCCACCUCUGUGAGAGAGCAGUCUGCCAGCUGGCAGAGGUCUGCUUGGAGCAUGCAGUUGGUUUGGUAACUGGGGAGCCAACAGUGUUUAUAGAUGGACGGUGGCCAUCAUCUGCCUCAUCUGUGGCUGCUGCUGCAGGAUCAAGACAAUGACGACAACAACCGAGGGUUCAGGGCUGCUAAUGACCCAAGGAAGCUAUAGAGACGGUAGAGACUGGGAAAUCGGGCUAGAAGUUAAAUAGGCAGAGGUCAGCUUCCUUUCAGGGAACUGAAAAAUCUUCUUGCUAGCUCAUUCUCAUCACUGUUCAUCAGGAUACCUCACGUCCUCUCACGGAACUGUGAGCGGGGCAUUUGAUAGUGCUCUCAUCUUCCUUGACAGAGGUCUGAAAAGGUCAGCCACUCAUAUUCUCUGUCUUCCCCUUCAGGAGAGCCGGCUACUGGAGGAUGAGACUGAUUACAAAUGCAGUAGAAGCAGGGAGCUUUCUAGCUUUCAUAAAAUCUUUCAUAGUUAUGGCAAAUCAUAAUCCUUCCCAAUGAGAUCUUUCUAGUUAGCCUAGUGUACUGCCUGAAACCACACAAUUACUUGGGGAUUAGUGUCAUUUUACUUGGGGUUUUGUAUCUAUACUGAUCUCAAAUUUCUGGAUUCAAGGGGUUUUCCAAUCCCACCUUCCUCCUAUAACUAUAGACAUUACCACCAUGCCCAGUGGGUUUUGUGUCUUCAGAAAUAAAAUGGUGUUUAAUAUCGGGCACAAGUGUACUACAAGACAGGAGAGAUUAGGUUUAAUUUUCAUAUUCAAUCAAUAAAGCUAUCUAAUCAUCUUCCCCAAAGAUAUACAAGGAACAGAAAGCAGAAGAACCUAUACCUGACCUAUCUGAGGGCAGAGUGGGGGAGGAGCGAGGGGGAGAGAGACAGAGAGAUCAAGAGAAAUCUCAAUCUGUACAUGAAGCUAGCAUGAUUUUUAAGGUCCUUCCAUAAACAAGUCCACUACGUUAGAUUUUUGAGAGACUAGAGGCAAAAAUAAUUGCUCUCUUUCUUCUUGUUUAUUUGGUCACUUGAAGGUCAAAGGGAGCUCGAACAGAGCUAAGUAGUGGCAGAGAUUACCCAGAAGGAAACUUGUAUCUGUAUCAAGCCUUGGUAGGCCUACUUCCUUCCCAAUACCUUUCCAGCAGUGCACAAUAGAGCUAAAAGGGGUCCCAAACUUGACUUUAGGGCUAUGGGUCCCUAUUCGCUGUAUUUCCCAGCACGAUUAUCUUCUCUGCCCCAGUCUCUAUUCAUAUGAGUACACUUAUCCCUGUCCUACUGAGCUCUGCGGGGCUGUUGAGAGCAUUCAUGGGACAGGCAGCCAUGGAAAUGAUCCAAAUCAUCGAGAGUCCAUUAAGUAGAAGAUGUUUCUGUGUAUUAGAUUUAAUAAGGGUAUGAUAGCUGGCCUCAAUUUGAAGCAACAAAAUAAGAGGCAGAAAGCAAUUUUUAUUUUCUGAAAUAGGGCUUCACGGCGCAGUCCAGGCUAGCUUAAAACUCUAGCGCCGCCUGCUUCUGGGUCUCAAGUGCUGAGUUUACAGGCAUACCCCUCCAGACCUGAUUAUAUUUUUGUUUGAAAUAAACAUUUUCCUCAUUAUGAAAACAUUACUUAAUUAUUGAAAAUAUACAGAAGUAACAGGAAAAACCCAAACAAGCCCGCCUUUAAUAUUAUAUUUAACAUUAUUAAGUUACAUGUUGUACUUAAUCCCAUCUAAACACAGGUAGCUUGAGUGAUUGGGAUUUUGGUCUAUUUCCUUCCAGUCUUUUUUCCCCCAACAAGGGCAAGGACUGUGCCUGUUUGCCUUUAUUUGCAGCCUCUAUCACUCUGGCAAACUCAGUAGAUUCUCCAUAAACACUUUCAGUACUGGCACACUUAUUGGAACGUGCAACUUUGCAUCCCACUUUGUCUGCUUCAGCCUGAGAAUAUGUUUUAAUAUUAGCAUUCUUUCAAAACAUCUUUUUUAAAUGUUUCCCCUGAAUUCCAUCAUAUCACUGCAUCACUGCAUCCGCACUCUAUUAUAAGACAUUUAGGUUGCUUCCAGCCUUCCACUGCUACAAUCAAUCAAAGCUGAGAUAAAUAUCCCCAUAGUGUGCGUCAUGUCCAUACAUGUUGCUUUCCUCUGAAUAAAUUCCUAGCGGUGGGUUUCUCGGCUCAGCACAGUUGAAAGGCUUCUAAUACAUACACCAUUUCGUCUUCCAUGAAAGUUAUACCAGUUUGCUUACCCACCAGUGAUAUUGGCAUUUUCCUUUUAAAUGGGCCUGCUUUUGAUUUUGGCUUUGUCAUAUUCUACCUGUAUCAUUUUUUUCCUUUGCAACUUCUUCCACUGCAUUUAUGCUCAGAAGUCCUCAGGGACAAUCCUUUAGGUUGAUAAAAGGUCAAUUUGUAUGCAGUUCUUGCUUUUGCAAUGCAAUGUAUUCAAGAAAGCUUUAUCAUAAGAUGGUCUACACACUGGGAAACAGACUAAGCUCAUGCAUACCCAUGGCAGAAUUCACCUAUUCUAAUGUGAUCGGUUUCAUCACCAGAAACAAACAAAUGUGUAGAUACAGGCUGCAAGGAGGUGAAGUAUAGGUGUUCAUCAAUCAGUUGUGGCAAAGUACAGCACUUCCUUUUAAAUGGUUCUGAUGUUUUGACUUUUAGCGAAUUUUUAGGUCAGGUAAACUUUUCAAAUCCCCUUUCUGAGGUUAGAAGAGCCUUAAUAUAUAGGCCUCUUCCGCCAUUAGGUGGAAGCGAGGGCUAAGGAAGGCCUAGCAUCAGCCAAAUGUAGGGGACAGUGUGGCGCCAUCAGUGCUUUAGACAGCUCUGCCCUUGACCCUGCCCCCAGGUCCUGGUUGAAAAUCAGAAAUGAUUUGGAAGCUAUUUUGGAAGGCUGAGGUUUGGAAUGAACAAAAUUCAGUAAAGCCUUCAAUGGGAAGGUAAGACAAUAAACUUGCUCAGUAUCACCUGAGAAAGCUACACAUGAUUGGUUCCUUCUAGAACAUAGAGGAGAGGUUCCAAAGAUGACGUUCAGACAUUAAUCAUCUCUGUGUCCACACCAUCUAGCCAAGUGCCAAACAAGCUCAGAGUGCACCAAUACAUGUAUGUAGAACAAUCGAAUGAGUGAGUGGACGGUUGGUUUGUUAGUCGGUGCAUCUUGGCAUUUCUUGGCUAGUCCUUGAUAUAUUCCGUGCCUGACUUUUAUCUUUACCUUCCAACCUGCUCUCUCCUGUUUUACCUUCUUCUAAGGAGCUUUGCUUAAGGUCCAAAAAUUGGAUGUUCUGCAAUUAUACCCUUGAGUAAAAGGAAUACUCUAGGGUCAUGUGGAUUGAGGUGUUCCUCCACCUAUCUGGUGUGUAUGGUAUUGGAAAGUUAUUUAUCAUUUCUGAACCUCAGCUUCUCUAUCUGUAAAAUGAAACUAAUGAAGUUUACCUCUUGGGCUGUUGUGAGCAGUAAAUGAAAUUAUGUAUGCAAAUGAGCAUUGUAAUUGUCAUGAAAUAAACACCGUGUGGUUGGUAGCUA